This 270-nucleotide ribosomal RNA is filed under the name uncultured bacterium. RNAcentral describes it as "partial 16S ribosomal RNA". The record is from RNAcentral.
CUGCUGCCUCCCGUAGGAGUCUGGCCCGUGUCUCAGUACCAGUGUGGGGGACCUUCCUCUCAGAACCCCUACGCAUCGUCGCCUUGGUGGGCCGUUACCCCGCCAACAAGCUAAUGCGACGCAUGACCAUCCGUAGCCGGAAUCGCUUCCUUUAAACCCACAGAGAUGCCUCCAUGGGUUGUUACGCGGUAUUAGACGGAAUUUCUUCCGCUUAUCCCCCUGCUACGGGCAGGUUUCAUACGUGUUACUCACCCGUGCGCCGGUCGCCGG